AAUGACACUUCAGUGUUCUUCCUAACCAUCCCUGUGCAAAUGGAUUCUCUUCCAAGAGGGUUUAUAGGAAACAUGGAGUACAGCAGCUGCUGAUUCAGAGAAGACCUCAGUGUGUUUUGCAUGCAUUGUCUAAAAUAGAAACAUUUGGAAACAUCUGCAGCAAAGCUGAACCCUUCUGAAGAACUUUAUCUCUCUAGAAAGAUCUCCUCAGCAUUUUUCUUCUGAACAUCUUCAUCCCACUGGACAUGGGGAGAUGCUUCUAAUCCUUUUGAAAUACCAGCCUCCUGGAUCAGGCAACUUAGUGACUCUGGAAA
Long non-coding RNA from Vidua chalybeata, 314 nucleotides. RefSeq lists it as uncharacterized. The record is from RefSeq and is a predicted model, not a curated record. NCBI's taxonomy places the organism in Eukaryota, Metazoa, Chordata, Aves, Passeriformes, Viduidae. The transcript has 3 exons.